This is a non-coding RNA of Schistosoma haematobium, 45 nucleotides long. Lineage: Eukaryota; Metazoa; Platyhelminthes; Trematoda; Strigeidida; Schistosomatidae. The record is from Rfam.
AUCCAAGUGAUGAGUCCCAGAUAGGAUGAAACGUACAUCUUGGAU